UGGUCACUUUAGGUCAUUUUAGGUUCAGCUAGUUCAGCUAGUAUCAAAAUGGGAUAAAACCGUAAGGCUUAUGGCUAAAGCGGACAAUUCCUCUAAUGAUUGGAGCCCGAUCGUUACAAAAUGACUAGUAGUACAAGGUAAAAUCAAGAGUAUGAUUCUAAUUUUAGUUCUCAUAGUGCACUCUCCCUUGGGCUCCAAUCUUGCUUAGAAUGAUGGGAAAUCCUCAUCUACGUAAAAGAUUUAGAAGAAUGGAGUUUGAAGAAGAU
This 266-nucleotide unclassified non-coding RNA is filed under the name Hevea brasiliensis (rubber tree). The record is from RNAcentral. Lineage: Eukaryota; Viridiplantae; Streptophyta; Magnoliopsida; Malpighiales; Euphorbiaceae.